CCUACGGGGGACAGCAGUGAGGAAUAUUGGUCAAUGGACGAGAGUCUGAACCAGCCAAGUAGCGUGAAGGAUGACUGCCCUAUGGGUUGUAAACUUCUUUUAUAUGGGAAUAAAAUGUUCCACGUGUGGGAUUUUGUAUGUACCAUAUGAAUAAGGAUCGGCUAACUCCGUGCCAGCAGCCGCGGUAAUACGGAGGAUCCGAGCGUUAUCCGGAUUGAUUGGGUUUAAAGGGAGCGUAGGUGGAUUGUUAAGUCAGUUGUGAAAGUUUGCGGCUCAACCGUAAAAUUGCAGUUGAAACUGGCAGUCUUGAGUACAGUAGAGGUGGGCGGAAUUCGUGGUGUAGCGGUGAAAUGCUUAGAUAUCACGAAGAACUCCGAUUGCGAAGGCAGCUCACUGGACUGCAACUGACACUGAGGCUCGAAAGUGUGGGUAUCAAACAGGAUUAGAUACCCCAGUAGUC
RNAcentral lists this ribosomal RNA (460 nucleotides) under uncultured bacterium. Its description in RNAcentral is "partial 16S ribosomal RNA". It matches the Rfam family "Bacterial small subunit ribosomal RNA", at positions 338 to 795 of the family's 1533-position model. The record is from RNAcentral.